RNAcentral lists this long non-coding RNA (831 nucleotides) under Zea mays. RNAcentral's name for it is "long non-coding RNA (ZMAY_LNC001983)". Lineage: Eukaryota; Viridiplantae; Streptophyta; Magnoliopsida; Poales; Poaceae. The record is from RNAcentral.
UCAACUGUUUGUGCUAACAUUGAGCCUAACUAAGUAUAUAUAAAUUCAUGUCUCCACACUUGUGCGACCACCAAAAUUUGAGUUCCAUUCCAUCUUUCAUCGAUGGCAUCAUCCAUCGUUUCAUCAAUUCAUCAUCGUCAAUGGCAUCAUUCACCAGUAUUUAUGUGCAUCUUCUGCUCUGAAUACUGAGCCUUGACCACCCGCAAGAACAUGUCAGCAUGUUCAGCUGGCUACUGCUUCAGCUGCAGCUGCAACAGCACAGUAGCCACAACAGCUGAAAAUUACCACCCCUGCUGCUGUUGCUUGUACCGGAUGCAGCCCAAAGUUGGGCUGCCAAAUAGAGCAUGUGUCUUUAUGUGAAGGGGUCAUUAUCCUCUUGCUGACCAAUACAUGAAUCAUUUUGAGAAGUAAGACAUGACUCUUGUGGAAGCUUUCAAAAGGAUGCAUGUCAUUCAGUAUGAGGACAUGCAUAACACAAAUGAUGCUGAUGAACAUGAAGAGACAAUUUCAGUAAAUGAGGGUAAGAAAUAGCAUGUUACGGAGUACGAACAUUAUUCUAUUACACAAUUCUGUUUUAGCUACCUUAUUUCUUACUAUCAUAGACCUAGGUUUAUAGAAAACAGUAAGAAUAAAUGGAGGAUGUUUUUUAACAAGUAAUGUUAUUCUAGCAUAAUUCCAUUUUCAGGUUGUUUUCUUGUAUUCAUGAACUGAUUACUUGGGAGAAAAAAGUGCAUACCUCCAUAUCCUUUAUUGUAGCUGCAUUUCUCAGUAUCACCUCCUCAUCCUAGAGAGACAUGUCCAGAGUAUCCCCAGUAGACAACUUGCCAACCU